RNAcentral lists this ribosomal RNA (440 nucleotides) under uncultured bacterium. RNAcentral describes it as "partial 16S ribosomal RNA". It matches the Rfam family "Bacterial small subunit ribosomal RNA", at positions 338 to 795 of the family's 1533-position model. The record is from RNAcentral.
CCUACGGGGCGCAGCAGUGGGGAAUAUUGCACAAUGGAGGGAACCCUGAUGCAGCGACGCCGCGUGCGUGAAGAAGUAUUUCGGUGUGUAAAGCUCUAUCAGCAGGGAAGAAAAUGAAGGUACCUGACUCAGAAGCCCAGGCUAACUCCGUGCCAGCAGCCGCGGUAAUACGUAGGGGGCAAGGGUUAUCCUGAUUUACUGGGUGUAAAGGGAGCGUAGACGGUUAUGUAAGUCUGAAGUGAAAGCCCAAGGCUCAACCAUGGGACUGCCUUGGAUACUGUACAAUUGGAGUGUAGGCGAGGUAAGCGGAAUUCCUAGUGUAGCGGUGAAAUGCUUAGAGAUUAGGAGGAACACCAGUGGCGAAGGCGGCUUACUGGACUGUAACUGACGUUGAGGCUCGAAGGCGUGGGGAGCAAACAGGAUUAGAUACCCUAGUAGUC